GGRUUCAGCGGGGGKCGGUUUGUAAUGCUUAGGAUCUCCUUGUAKUKGGGGAAACGUGUGGAAAGGACGUUUUUACCGSUACGUCCUAGGGAGAAAGCAGGGGACCUUCGGCCCUGGGCUAUCAGAUGAGCCUAGGUGGGAUAGCUGGUYGGRGAGGAAUGGCUCUCCAAGGCGACGAUCCGUAACUGGSCUGAGAGGAUGUUCAGSCSCACUGGAACUGAGACACGGUCCAMACUKCUACGGGAGGCAGCAGUGGGGAAUAUUGKACAAU
RNAcentral lists this ribosomal RNA (271 nucleotides) under Pseudomonas sp. Its description in RNAcentral is "partial 16S ribosomal RNA". It matches the Rfam family "Bacterial small subunit ribosomal RNA", at positions 88 to 372 of the family's 1533-position model. The record is from RNAcentral. Lineage: Bacteria; Pseudomonadati; Pseudomonadota; Gammaproteobacteria; Pseudomonadales; Pseudomonadaceae.